GGGGGAGCGUUUAUCGGGAUUACUGGGGCGUAAAGCGUGUGUAGGCGGUUCGGAAAGAAAGAUGUGAAAUCCCAGGGCUCAACCUUGGAACUGCAUUUUUAACUGCCGAGCUAGAGUAUGUCAGAGGGGGGUAGAAUUCCACGUGUAGCAGUGAAAUGCGUAGAUAUGUGGAGGAAUACCGAUGGCGAAGGCAGCCCCCUGGGAUAAUACUGACGCUCAGACACGAAAGCGUGGGGAGCAAACAGGAUUAGAUACCCUGGUAGUCCACGCCCUAAACGAUGUCAACUAGCUGUUGGGGCCGUUAGGCCUUAGUAGCGCAGCUAACGCGUGAAGUUGACCGCCUGGGGAGUACGGUCGCAAGAUUAAAACUCAAAGGAAUUGACGGGGACCCGCACAAGCGGUGGAUGAUGUGGAUUAAUUCGAUGCAACGCGAAAAACCUUACCUACCCUUGACAUGUCUGGAAAGCCGAAGAGAUUUGGCCGUGCUCGCAAGAGAACCGGAACACAGGUGCUGCAUGGCUGUCGUCAGCUCGUGUCGUGAGAUGUUGGGUUAAGUCCCGCAACGAGCGCAACCCUUGUCAUUAGUUGCUACGCAAGAGCACUCUAAUGAGACUGCCGGUGACAAACCGGAGGAAGGUGGGGAUGACGUCAAGUCCUCAUGGCCCUUAUGGGUAGGGCUUCACACGUCAUACAAUGGUCGGGACAGAGGGUCGCCAACCCGCGAGGGGGAGCCAAUCUCAGAAACCCGAUCGUAGUCCGGAUCGCAGUCUGCAACUCGACUGCGUGAAGUCGGAAUCGCUAGUAAUCGCGGAUCAGAAUGUCGCGGUGAAUACGUUCCCGGGUCUUGUACACACCGCCCGUCACACCAUGGGAGUGGGUUUCACCAGAAGUAGGUAGCCUAACCGUAAGGAGGGCGCUUACCACGGUGGGAUUCAUGACUGGGUGAUCAAAAAAGGGGCCCCCACACAAAAAAAAAAAGGG
RNAcentral lists this ribosomal RNA (981 nucleotides) under Alcaligenes faecalis. RNAcentral describes it as "bacterial SSU rRNA". It matches the Rfam family "Bacterial small subunit ribosomal RNA", at positions 532 to 1533 of the family's 1533-position model. Lineage: Bacteria; Pseudomonadati; Pseudomonadota; Betaproteobacteria; Burkholderiales; Alcaligenaceae. The record is from RNAcentral.